CUAAGAAGCAGCAACAAGCAGAAGAAGAAGUCUGUGCUGUGAAGAACUGCGCCCAAGAAAUAUCACUGAGAAGGUACAAACCGACAUUAUCCAGGCAUGGCUUUUGGGAAGGAAAACUCACUGCAGGCAAAUCUGCUUCAUUUUCAGUGCUGGAGAUUUUUAAGAGAAGAGCAGUCACUUGGAUCCUGCUCAGCUGGUCGUGUAACGCAGCCCGGAGAGCUUGCGCCGUGCUGUCCAGCUUAUUGAGGCAAAGUUGGCAUGGCAAGACUGGCAUGGCCCUGGCAGGAUCUGACCAGGCGCUGGCUGUGAUGGUGCUGUGGGCAGGCACAGAAUGCAUCUACACUGCCUGAGCCCAGGCAGGGGCUUGUCCAGAGCUUCCACCCUCACUUAAUACUUAUAUACUGACCUUCCCACCAAACCAGUCACCAGUCACUGUUUUCUGCAGUGUAGCUGGGGUGAUGGUGGGAGGCAGCAGGGAAAAGCACGUGCUGUGAGGUGGAGAGAUGAGAAACAUAAACCACAACUUCUUUUCACCUUUACUCACCUGCAUUGAGCUUUUUCUCUGAGUUCCAGUGGGCUGAAGGAGAUUUGUUCACACCAUCAUGAUCUGACUCUGCCAUGGAAUGGGGCAGGGUUGUCCACAUUCACAACUGAGAGAAAAUACAAGAUCUCAAAUACUUCUCCUCACCACCUCUAACUGAUUAUCUCCUGGGCUAAAUGGGCUGGAUAUGUCCUCACUGGGGCACUGGCUGUGGCUUGUAAGGCAAAAUCUCUGGGUAUCAAGCAUUCAGUACCAACAGAGCACUUCUCUACAAAAGCUUACAUUGCAUGUUGAGAAGACAGCCACAAGGAAGGAGAUACAAAUCCAGAGAGGGAAAGUGCUGAAGGCUUUUGAGCCAGAGAUGGUAUCAAGUACCUUGUGCUUGAUUUAUGGUUCUUGUUCUCCAGAAAGCUUUACUUCAAAUGGUAAAUUCCCCUGGGCGACUCUGAGCCCUUCCUAGCAGGCCUGGGUAAAUUUAAAGGGCUAAGAUUUGGGAUCCUAUCACUUGAGGGGAGCAUAAUCUUCAUGCUAAGUGUGAGCCCUAGCUGUGUGAAUCUUAAAGCCACAGCUAUAAGCAGAAAUAUUUUAUCCAUCUGGUGACCCUGUUAGGACACAGAGCAUCCCACAUAAGUCCCCUGCUAGUGCCUGUCUCUCAGGGAUUCCAGCUAGCCAUCCAGUAGCUUUCAGCUGAAGAGCUGGAAGCUGUGGCCCUCUUGCUGGAUGUCAGGAACCCCACUCAGCUGUGUUUGUGGUGUUGGGUCAUCUUAUGAGUGCUCACCCCACACUUACCUUGUCACCUUUUUCCUCUGCAUCAUGCUCUCCAUUGCAAAGGCUGCCAUACACCAAAAAAUCUCUGUCUGCAGUGAGGUUUAGGAAUAGAUUUUAAUAUCAUAAUUACAGCAUGUAAACAAAAUACCACUCGAUUAUUGAAACCAUAUUCAGUGAAGCUGAGCUCCCAUGCAAGAGAUACAUAUGAAUUUAAUUGCUGUUAAACCUCUGCAAAUGUGCUUUCAGAAAGGCACUGGGAAUAUUUAACACACAGAUCAAAACAACUACUGAAAUCUAGAGCUGAUGCUGGAGAUUAAUCAGCAGG
Zonotrichia leucophrys gambelii is the source of this 1634-nucleotide long non-coding RNA. RefSeq lists it as uncharacterized. The record is from RefSeq and is a predicted model, not a curated record. The transcript has 3 exons. NCBI's taxonomy places the organism in Eukaryota, Metazoa, Chordata, Aves, Passeriformes, Passerellidae.